CUACCCCCAGCAGGUAGACACAAAAAGCGGCUGAGCAUUGUGAGGAACACGUCGGCAGAGGAAGAUACAAGCCACUGGUCAUCGAGGGCACACUGGCAGAAGAGCACGCCAACAGGCACUAGCAGGUCGACAGGCCAGGCCGUAGACUGGUGGAAUGACGCGAAGUUUUCCAGGGGAAAACCAUCUCCCUUCUGGCUCCCCCAUCUGCUAAGAGUUACUUCUACUCAAUAAGACCUUGUACUCAUUCUCUAAGCCCGUGUGUGCUCCAAUUCUCCUGGUACACCAAGGCACCUCCAGAAAUCAAGCAUCCAAUACAACAACAAGCAAAUGCUCCAGGCAGUUACCAGAUUAAAGGAUGUUGCCAGUUCAGCAGUGCAGAAGCCAUACACACAGAGAAACUAUCUGGGAGAAGAAAUAUAGAAGAUAAAUCUGGAACAUUGUGUGACACAAAAUAAGAAAACUGUGAAAGGAAAACGAGCCAUUGUCAAAAUGACACAUGAGCCAGCUUGAGUGGACUUUCACUAUCCAAAAAUUUCCAGUUUUUCCAGCACCAUCUACUGAAGAGACUGCCCUUUCUCCAGUGUAUGUUCUUGGCACCUUUGUCAAAAACAAGUUCACUGUUUUGAUAUCAAGAUUACACAGAUCUCACAAAACAUCGUGUUCUCCUUUAGGUGAACUCAAAGAGCGCUUUACAUGAAAGCAAAGAACAUAACAUUUUCAAACACAUCAAACUAUGCCAAAUGAGAUGCAAUCUGCUCUACAUAUUUCAAAUGGCAAGUAACUACUAGGAUUGCUGUGUUUGACUUCAGAAAUCGAAAAGAAGUAACUAAACUGAUGUAUUUUUAAUAAAGAGUUCAAAGAACUGUGAUGAUAAAUGAGCCAUUCCCCAAACUGUAAGUCCUCAGGUUGAAUCACUGAGAAAUUAUCCAAACUAAUAGAGAGGAGCAGAGGUGCAGGGCAUUGGAUGGGUUCAGUCCACUUCAUGGCUGCUGCUACCACUCCCUCAGAACUGGCCUCUCAUGGCCAAUACCUAGCCUUUCCAUUUAGAAGCCUGUCUCUUCAGCCCUACCUCUACUGGCCUGUUCCACCCACAGACUUUCCCAUGAGACAAAGAAAAAACAAACCUUAUUUAAGUUUACACCUUGCUCAAGGAGUGAAAUAAGUUAAGCCUCAAUUCAUGUAUAAUUUUGGGCUUAGUUUACCCCCAUCAAUCAAACAUAUGUAUUCUCCUUGAUGGCUACUCAACAUCCUACUAGUAGGGAACAUAAUAUUUACUUGAAGUUAGAACUUCUAUUUAAAGUUAUACUGAAAGACUCUUUUACCCUCCAGAAGUACCUUCCCUUCUUUUAUCCUUCCUUCCUUCUCCCUUUCCCCCUUUUUCUCUCUCUGAAAUAUGGGCAUGAAUCUCCUUUAUAAUGAAGAAAAAAAUCUUGAAAUAUUCUUUCUUUCUUGUAUAAAACCAAUACACCAAAUAUUUGUUCAUUGCUUUAAAAAUGUUCUUUCUUCCUUUCCUCCUUUUUCCUUUCUUCUUUUUCUCUUUCCCCUCUUUCUUUCUCCCAUUUCUUCUUUCUUACCCUUUCUGCCUGUCUUCCUGUCUGCACUUUAUCAUGUGUGUUGUGUGAAAUGCUACAUAAACAUAAAUAAAUGAUAAGGCAAGAUCUUAUGAGGAAAUUCGUAAUCCUACUGGCCUAUUGACCAGUCAAUUUAGCUUAUUCAGUAAAACCUGGUAAAAGAGACCUUAAGAUUAUAUUUUAAAGCAAUGAACAAAUGCUUGGUUUAUUGAUUUUAUCCAGUAAGUAAAAUAAAAAAUAUUUCAAGAUUUUUUUCCAUUGUAAAGUAGAUUCAUGCCCGUAUUUCAGAAAGUGGCAUAUUCUCAAAAAGUCACGUUUUUUUUUUCAAAUUAUAGGGUUCCUGUUAAGGAAACAAGGAAACUAAACAGAGAAAAUGACUUGCCUCACACAGCUUUUAUUAGGCAGUAAAGAGGUACCUUAAUCAGGGAGAAACUUAUUUUUCUAUUAUUUUCAUAAUGGAGAUGCUGACAUUGAAAUGCUGUAUUUCUCUCCACUCAAGCUAUGCUUUAAGCAGUGUUAAGCUACUGCUUUUGCAUCACUAGUACUGAAGAUUAUGAUUUCAUCAGGACAUCUUUUAUUGCAAAGCAGUCUCAAAUGAAAUUCAGGGGAAAUGAGCUAAACCUAACAUGCUGUUGGUUUGCCAGGGUCAAUCUUCUGCUCACAAAAUUCAAGUGCCACUUGUCUUUGUAAUUGCAAGCAUAGGGAUAUAUCUUCCCUCAUUUAGAAGCACUCGCACGGUACUAGAUUAUUAUCAGGCAAGAGAGCAUUUGAAUCUUAAAUGAUCACUGAUCCAUAUUAACUGUACAAUUUGUUAUAUAGUAAUUUGGUGAGGAGGUCAAGUAGGAAAUAGAUUUUGGGUUUCUCUUUAUUCAAGUUGACUGCAUAAAAGAGAGUUCAAAUCUUACUGUUCUUUCUACAAAGACAAAUACACUAUGAUUUUUUUUAAAGGCAUACUUCAUUUGAAUAUAAAUAAAUUAUUCAGUUUUGACUAUCUUUUUUUUUUUUGGUUUUGGUUUUUAGAAAAUGGUAAGCAGCUUUCAGAGACCAUCAUGUUAUGAUUGGCAAGAGGACAGGCAUCAAAUGGAAAAAGAAAGCAAGUAUUUUCAACAAAGAAGAUUGACAGUGUAUUAGUCCCUUUUCACACCGCCAUAAAUAGCUACCCAAAACUGGGUAAUUUAUGAAGAAAAGAUGUUUAGUUGAUUCACAGCUGCAUCGGCUUAACAGGAAGCAUGACUGGGAGACCUCAGGAAACUUAUAAUCAUGGUGGAAGACAAAGCAUGGGCCUUCUUCACAUGGUGUUAGGAAAGAGAGAGAGAGGGUGCACCAGGGGGAAGUGCCACACACUUCUAAACACCAGAUCUCAUGAGAACUCUAUCAGGAGACAGCACUAGGGGGAUAGUGCUAAACCAUUAGAAACCUCCCCAAUGAUUUAAUCACCUCCCACUAGGCCCCACUGUCAACACGUGGGGAUUCCAAUUAGACAGGAGAUUUGGGUGGGGACACAAAGCCAAACCAUAUCAGACAGUGAAAGUGGGAAAUUGCCUUUAUAUUUAAUUUGAAAUAAAUAAUCAUGGGCAUUGAUGUAAGCCAGUGCUCUCAUGAUGGUAAAUUAUCUUCUUUAUUUUUUGGUUUCUGCUUUCUCUGAUGAAGCUGGAGUUGAAAAUGGUUACUCUGAAAAAAUAAGCCUUUCUUCAGAUGAAUUGUAGACAGGUCAUUAGAAGUCUUCCUUGAAAAAAGAUGUGAAACAAAACAAAAACAAGAAGCAAUCUGCAAGUUUGACACAAGCCUGGCUAAGAGCAUCUUCACCUUUUUUUUUUUUUUUCUAAUCUCAGGAAAAAAAAGUUGAGUUUUGUUUCAUCAAUUUAGGAUUUCAGAAAAAACAUCUAAUUAAGCUAGGAUAAAAGCAGUUAAUUAAGCAACUUUGGACCACAUCUGUACUUGUGAACAACCUUGAUUAUAUCAGUAUACAUAUAUAGUAAGUGGCCUCUGAACAUUGCAUUUCAAAUAUAGAAAUUAAUAAAUUCAUGUUACUUUAAUUAGCAAUAAUUACAUAAUAUUUAGCAACACUCAAUAGUUUUUAAGACUCUCAUAAAAUGUAAGACAAUAUUGAUUGCAAGACCCAUUAUAAUUUUACAAACCAUUAAGAAAGACAGAAACUCUGCCAAAUAAAAUAUGACACAAGGCAUUAAAGAAAAUGUUGUGUUAUGUAUGAAUUUUUCACACAAGCCUCUUAUUGCUUGGAAAUUAUAUCCAUCUAUUUUAAGAAUUUUGAUAGUUUCUCCUGACUUUUAUUGAGUUGCCUAGCAUGAGUCAGGCAAUCCCUUUACACAUUCUGCACAAAUAGAAUGUAAUAGAGCCUUAUAUAUUCACAAGCAUCUUCCUUUCUUUGAUCUCCUAAAGUACUUGGGUGUUUUGCAAGAAAAUAUGGAAUUUAGGUUGUCCUUACAACAAUGAAUAUUUGCUUCCCUCUCUUCUGUCUCUAUGUUUUUCCACAUAAAGAAAAACUUUUGUUUCUACACUGAAAUGCCAUGUGAUCUUUAAUGUAUUUUAAAUAGCUCCACGCUACUCAACGAGGGUAGUAUUGACUAUGAUGACAAAAGCCAGAAAUAUGAAUACCUAUGACCCAGCUCAUUCAUGUAGGAAUGAAAAAUAUGACAUGAUUGUUGUCUGGUCAAAAACAACUAUAAGCACCAUAGAUUUUAAGAUGCAUUCUUAUUUUAGAGAUUUAUGAACAUAACCGAAAAGAAAUGUGUCUUAAAAUAAUGAAAAGAUUAUUUAUUUAUAAUGGUAUAUAUUCACAUAAAGAAAAAGGCAUAUAUUUUAUAAGUAUACUAAGGAGUACUCUGGGAGCUUGGAUGUACAAGGGAGAGAGCCACAAAAAUGCAUUCUGAGCCACCGGGGGAUUUUAGUGUUUGAAGACAAAGUGCCCUAAAGCACUUUUUGCAAACUCAGCUCUGUAAAGAUAUGCCCAUAUAAAGGGGCAAUCGUGUAUAAAACAGAACGCUGAUACUUUGCUAAAAAUAUCAGGGUGAAAAAAUAUUGAGGCAGAAAUCUUGAAAGAAACAGGCAGUGUGGGGAAAUAAUAAUUACUUGUUAUCAAUCAGUAAGGAAUAAACAAUAGGAAAAAGUCUAGUUAUCACAGUUCCUUAAGAAAUAUAGUCUUGAGUAGGGGUUAGAAAACUUUGUUUGUGAAGGGCCAGAUGAUAAAUAGUUUAAGCUUUGCCGUCCACAUACGUUCUCUGUUAGAUAUUUUUCUUGUUUUUAUUUUGACCACUUUUUAAAGUUGUAAAAACCAUUCUUAGCUUGGGGCAGUGAUAUGGUUUGGCUCUGUAUCCCCACCCAAACUCACCUUGAAUUGUAAUAAUCCCCACGUGUCAUGGGAGUGAUGCGGUGGGAGGUAAUUGAAUCAUGGGGAUAGGUUUUUCCUGUGCUGUUCUUUUGUUAGUGAGUAAGUCUCACGAGAUCUGAUGGUUUUAUAAAGGGCAGUUCCCCUGCGCAUGUUUUCUCUCUUGCCUGCUACCAUGUAAGAGGAACCUUUCACCUUUCACCGUGAUUGUGAGGCCUCCCCAGCCACGUGGAACUGUGAGUCCAUUAAACCUCUUUUUCUUUAUAAAUUACCCAGUUUCGGGUAUGUCUUUAUCAGCAGCGUGAAAGCGGACUAAUUCAGGCAGUAAGAGGUUGUGGGCUGGAUUUGUCUCUCGGCUUGCGGUUUGCAGACCCCUGGUUUGCACUAGUGGUUGUCAAAUUUCAGCAUGCAUAAGGGCUUCCUGGAGGGCUUUCUGACACAGAUUGCCAUUUAGAGAGCUUUUGAUUCAGAAGGUCUGGGAUGGGGCCUGAAAACUUGCAUUUUUAACAAGUUCCUAGUUGAUACUGUUGCUGUGUAUGCAGGAACCACACUUGGAGAAUCACUGGUCUAGUAGUGAAAAGCAGCUUUGGAGUAGAGUAGAUUUGGAUCCUUACCCUGUCACUAACCAUCUAUGAGAACUUGGGUAGCUGAUUGAACUCUACUGAAUCUUGGCUUCCUCAGCUAUAGAAUGGACAGCAAUGGGACCUACACAAGUUUAACCUCACGAUUAUGAUUCACGAGUAAGAUCUGUGGAGCACAUAGCACCGUGCUUGGCACACAGUGAUUGCUACAUACAUGUUAACUAUUAAUCAUCCCAGAUGGAAGACCAUUUUGAGGAACCCAAAUUGGAAUGAAAAAAGUUAUGUUAUUUUACCCUCCAUCGAUGUAUUUGGGGUGAGAAAAAAAUAUCAGUGAGAGAGUUAAAAAGAAGGGAAAAUGGAAGUAGCAAUAUAGGCAUAAUUGAAAAAGUUGCCAGGUUCUUUUACUUGUGAAAAGGCGUGGCAUUUUCCUGAAGAUGGAUUCCUGGGAUAAAUGGUUAGAUUUGUAGCCCAUGAGCAUGCCUUGUGAUGAGCCAUGUACUAUGCUGCUCAAGAAGUGAAACAGCUGGGAGGCUCUUUUACACUAGAAACAUGGGACUCAUUUCUAGUGACGGCACAUGUGAUAAACAUCAACAGCUGUUGAUGUUUCCUUGUUUUAAUGUCUCAGCUGCUCAGAGGGUACUUGAGCAAAGCCUCUUGCUACCUGAUGCAGCUGUUAGAUAGUUGCGAAUGCACUCUCUGGAUCUGUUUGGGGUUCAUUCCUGCUGUGUAAUAAUGCAAUAAAACUGAUUUCCCCUUGGAAGUAAACAACUCAGCUAUCAAAGGCACAUUUGGGAGUUGGAAUACGAUUCCCCUCUACCAAGACACAGAUAAAAAGAGUGGGCUUCCCAAGUUAAGGAAGCUGUCCUCCUCUCGAACUUGCCUGGCGUGUAAUAUAUGCUUGUCACUAACAAUUGCAGAAUUAACAAUGCUCCUAGCACCUAGUAAAUGGUAGCUUUUUGCAGAUCACCUUUAAAAGACUCAUGGUGAAGCCAGUGAUCCAUUUGUCUUGCCUUAGGCUAUUUCUAUCACAAGAAUGUCCAUCUUCUAAGGCAAGCUUUUUCUUAUCUAUCUAAUGAUGGAUAAAGGAGCUCAGACGUUGGGUCAGAUAGGCCUGGACAUGCAUUAUGAAUCUACAGAAAGAUUUUAGCAAAUCAUUGAACUUCUCUAAACAUCAGUUUCUUCUGCAAUCUUUAACCGGUUUCAUGCUUUACUCUUGCCUUUGUAAAAUCCAUCAUUCAGAGUAAAUUUUUUGAAAAGCAAAAGCAAAUCACAUCACUGCCCACUUAAGACCCUUCUGUGGCUUCAGUAACACUAGAAUUUUAUACAAACAUCAUAUCAAAACCCAAAGCCUCAGUAUUCGAACUGUGAUCUGCAGGAUCACCUGGAAGCAGAAUUGCAGGCUCUUCUACAGACCUUCUGAGGCAGUUAUUGUUUUUUUUAACAAUAUCCUUAUGUAAUUCAUGUGUACAUUAAAGUUUGAGAAGCAGUGGCCUAUAAAGGCCCUUCUAACUUUCCCAUGAGUCUUAUUUCAUCUUCAACUACUCAACCUCUCAUUCAUUACACUGCGUGCGCUCUUCUUCUGUCCGAGAAUGCAAGAGGCUCAGGGCCUUUGCUCUCUGCCUAAAAUAUCCAGUUCCAAGAUUGGCUCCUGGCCAGUCCCUCCUUGUCAUUUGAGUUUGAGAUUAAAAUGUUACUUCCUCAAAAUCACCAUCCAUCCCUUUGUUUGGUUUUGUUUUUGCUUUUCUAUUGUAUGCCUCCACCUUACGAGAAUAUAAGAGCUGGAAGAGGUGGGAUCUGAUCUGUCUUGUUUAUUGCUCUAUCGCUAGAACAUAGAACAGUGCCUGAUAUAUAGUAUACAGUCAACAAAUAAUUUUCAAUAAAUCCAGAAAUUAUAUUUACCUCUCAAGAUUGUUUUGGGGAUUCAAUGAUAGAGUAUCUAAGAAACAUUAGCACAUCUUGGUUGCUUACUCAAUGUUAGCUCCCACCCUUUCCCUUCUUCUUCCCUUCUUUGCCUGUAUAGAUUGAUAUGCAGUGAUGCCUAGGUUGUGUAGGUCAUCUCUGUGAUAAUUGGAAACCCUCUAUUCCACAAUCUUAAGAGAAAGUCUAGCAGUUGCAUCAUUCAUUGACUUCUCUGAACAUCAAUUUAAUCUGCAAUCAAUCCCUAACAAUUUGUCCAUGAGUCAGAAGCACAGUUAAGAAAAGGGAUGGUCAAAGAGAAUAGAAUAGAGUACUUAGUCUGCCAGAUAGAGAUGGAACUGCACCCUUUACCUGCCUCAUGCUGGCCCUGGUUCUUGUAAAGAUAAUUCUAACAGGAAUAUGCAGUAUAAGUGAUAAUGUAAAUAUAAAUUUGAGUGCUGAGAGUCAUAACCUAUGCAGUUCAUUUAAUUUUCUGAACUUUUGGUUGCGAGAAUAUGAAACAAUUUGUGGCAAAUAUAGGCAAUUACCUAUCCAUGCCAAAUAUUUAAAAUAUUUCACUUUUAGUACAAUAGAAAUAUGAGGAAAAUGCUAGAGGUUUAGAAUUGAGGGAAUGGGAAAAGCUAAAAGACCCAUGAAACUUCUGGAAAUGAGUGAAGUGGUGCACCUGUGAGAAACAGUUUGGAGGUACCUUUGUAGUGGCAAGAGCUUUGACUUCAGAGUCAGAUGGACACAGGUUGGAAUUGUUAAGCAGUAGGUAACUGUGAAAUAUUAAUUACUUAAUAUUACCUCUGGCCCUUGGUAUUCUAAUCUGUAAAAGGUAGAAAAUAUUAAUACUUAGCUCACAGAGUCAGAAUAAAUGAUCUGUGUGUCAGAGUUUCUCAGUGCACGUGGCAGGCAAAGCACCUGACACAGUCUCUAAUCAAGACACAUUUGCCAUUGUUAUAGUUAUUGGAAGUCAGGGGGCAGAUGGACCCAGUGCUGUCAUGUUCAUUCUGUUUCCCCAUAACAACCACAACAAAUAUGUGUAAAUAUCUUUUGGGUUUUUUUGAGACUGAGUCUUGCUGUGUCACCCAGGCUGGAGUGCACUGGCGCUAUCUUGGGUCACUGCAACCUCUGCCUCCCGGGUUCAAGCGACUCUCUUGCCUCAGCCUCCUGAGUAGCUGGGAUUGCAGGCGUGUGCCAUGAUGUCUGCCUAACUUUUGUAUUUUUAGUAGAGAAGGGGUUUCACCAUGUUGGUCAGGCUGGUCUCAAACUCCUGACCUUGUGAUCUGCCCGCCUUGGCCUCCCAAAGUCCUGGGAUUUUCAGGCGUGAGCCACCAUGCCCGGCCUUAAAUGUCUUUCCAAUGCCUCUGUCUUUCCUUUUUAUACCCUCACACAUCCCUCUGUCCUUUUCUACUUAUUUCCUUCUUCUGGAAAAAUUUCUCCAACUAUUAUUUGUAUGGGUCAGAAACACAGAAAUGGAAAUACUAAAAGAGGGAAGGGGCCAGGCUGACAAAAAAAAAAAAUACAAGUUUCUCCUGUUGUAUCAGGUUUCAUUGCUGUAACCUGAUAGAAUUGGCUUCCUCUGGAAGUGGAUCCCACUUAGAACAACUACGCAUCUGUGAAAGCAAUGAAGGAGAAGAAUGAGACUAAAUGGAGAAAAAUUGUUAUCUACAUUGCAAUUAGAUUUCUGUGCUUGCUGUAUUAACUGCAAGAGUAAUUCUUCCCUUACCUAGCAAACUAAAAUUAGGUUAAUAUUCCACAUGAUUGUACUUGAAAAAUUAAGCUAUAGUGUAGCACAGAUGGAAUGAUUUAACUAGCAUCAGAAGAAGUAUAUAAUUUGUAUUAUGUAGGACAGUGCAUAUUGAGAUUUAUUCUAAUGAAAUGUCUGAUUUUUUUUUCUUCUUUCAUCUAAGAUAGUUUUAAUUAUGUUGGUGGCAAUGUCCAAAUUAAUUUAACUGUUCUCCUUGAGAUUCUGUAACUAUUUUUAUUAAAAUAAUAAUGAGUAACAUAAUGAAUAUCUUCUCUUAUUAUCACUUCUCAUGGACUUUAAAUUCUAUAGUUUAUUUCUCAUUGAGCUGUAGAGCUAGGAGCUAUAUAAAAUAUGGCAUUUAUUAUUCUUCCGAACAGCUGACAUAAAUAUUGGCAAAUAGUCUCCGUUUUAUUUUUGAUAAAGAAAGAAAUGUACUGGAAUUACCAUUAAAAACAAUUUACUUGUAAUCUAACCCCCACAUUUUCCAAACAAGUCAAGAAACAUAAUUGCCCAAAUACACAAGUUAGUGAUAGAGCCAGGAGUAUAACUGAGCUCUCUCUCACCUGAACCUUAUUCCAAGCUCUUACCAUGACACCAUAUUGAUUCUUUUUACAUACAUGUGUUUUAUAGCUUGAAUGAAAAAUACUGAAGACUCCCAGAUUUUAAGCUUGAAUUCCUUGUAGCUUGCCCCAGGCCUGGGAUUGAUUCUAAAACCUGCUAAAGUAUAAACCAGUGAUGGUCACUAAAUCUCUUAAGAAGAAGAAAAGGGUACCAUGAAAAGCUUCAUCCAACAAGGAAUAUUAGUUUCCUGUUGCUACUGUAACAAGUUACCACAAACGCAGUGUAUUUAAAAAAAUUAUUUUUUGACGUUCUCAUGGUUAAAAAGCCUAAAAUAAGUCACAGUGGGCUAAAAUCAGCAGAUUUUGAAGGUCUGUGGGAGAAACCAUUCCCUUGGCUUUUCCAGCUCCUAGAGGCCCGCUGCAUUCCUAGCUUAUGGCCUGGCAUCACUCCAGUCUCUUCUGCUGCUGCCACAUUUUCUCCUCUGACUCUCAUCCUCCUGCCUUCCUCUUAUAAGAACCUUAUGAUUACUUUGUGCCCACUUAUAUGAUCCAAGAUUAUCUCCCCAUCUCAAGACCUUAAAUUUAAUCACAAAAUCCCCCCUUCUGUAAUGAAAGAUAGCAUAUUUACAAAUGCUAGGGAUUAGGAUGUGAACAUCUUUCGAGAGCCACUAUGCUGCCUAUCACAUAAGAAUACUAUAAGUCUAUCAAUUUUAUGCCUUGGCCUGAGUCACUUCCUAACAAAUACGUGCUGUAAUUACUGAUAUAGGGGAAGAUGGAAGCAGUUCACAUGUGUUUCCCCACCGCCAUUCAUUCUGUAAUCUCACAAUGAAAGAGCUAUCUCUAAGAAAUGUCACCUAAAGUUUAACCUGUAAAGUUAAAUCCGCAAUUCCCAUCUGUAAGUUUUAUUUGUCUUUGUCACAUUUUCUAGGGGGUUUGAGAUUGCUCCUAUUCUACUCUGCAAAAUCUGGAAAGAGUUGGGUAUGACUAUUCAAAAAUGAAUGUCUUCUGUAGACAACUGAGGUAA
Pan troglodytes (chimpanzee) is the source of this 10731-nucleotide long non-coding RNA. RefSeq lists it as uncharacterized. The transcript is spliced from 7 exons. The record is from RefSeq and is a predicted model, not a curated record. Lineage: Eukaryota; Metazoa; Chordata; Mammalia; Primates; Hominidae.